Molecule: ribosomal RNA, 454 nt
Filed under: uncultured Porphyromonadaceae bacterium
Lineage: Bacteria; Pseudomonadati; Bacteroidota; Bacteroidia; Bacteroidales; Porphyromonadaceae
Description: partial 16S ribosomal RNA
Rfam family: Bacterial small subunit ribosomal RNA
Source: RNAcentral
ACGGAAGGCAGCAGUGAGGAAUAUUGGUCAAUGGACGGAAGUCUGAACCAGCCAUGCCGCGUGAAGGAUGACGGCCUUAUGGGUUGUAAACUUCUUUUAUGAGGGAGCAAUAAGGUGUACGUGUACACUGAUGAGAGUACCUCAAGAAUAAGCAUCGGCUAACUCCGUGCCAGCAGCCGCGGUAAUACGGAGGAUGCAAGCGUUAUCCGGAUUUAUUGGGUUUAAAGGGUGCGUAGGCGGACUGGUAAGUCAGCGGUGAAAGUUUAUCGCUUAACGAUAAAAUUGCCAUUGAUACUGUCAGACUUGAGUGUAUUUGAGGUAGGCGGAAUGUGUGGUGUAGCGGUGAAAUGCAUAGAUAUCACACAGAACACCGAUUGCGAAGGCAGCUUACUAAGAUACUACUGACGCUGAGGCACGAAAGUGUGGGGAUCGAACAGGAUUAGAUACCCUGGUA